AGAGAAGCUUGGAGUUCUGAAGGUAGAGGACAUGCUGGUGGUGCUUGUGGAGAAGAAAUACCAUGUAGCCACUGGCCCCUCCCAUGGCACCCUGAAACACUGCAUCUCUCAGGACCAUGAGAUGGAGAACAAUCAAUUUUAUUUUCUGGUUUUCUAGCAUAAAAUAGCAAUAAUUCUCAUCAUUUAUAUGUUGUGAUAUAUUCAGACUUGUGCUUCUAAUGGAAUGGAUUAGGUUCGUACUGAUUAAAGCAUUGAGUAUCCAAAAGAAUGAGAAGAAUGGAAGGAUGUGCCAUGCAGACUUUGGCCUGAGUCUCCUCCACCCAGAUGUUCUGGGACUGAUGAUGAUGGCCUGGACCACAGUAAGGAGACUGCUGGUGCAGAUGGAGAGGCCCCGGGCCACCCUCUCUAGGCAGAAAAACUUGCAUCCAAGAUGGAAACACUUUUGGAAGGAAACCUCUUCAAUUGUAGACGUGGGUCUGGACAGCUCAGUUUGCACAAUAGCUUUUUCUGGAGUUAGCAAAACAGGAAUAGAGACAAAUACUGUUGCAGAUUAGGUCCCUGAAAC
Molecule: long non-coding RNA, 565 nt
Filed under: Mus musculus (house mouse)
Lineage: Eukaryota; Metazoa; Chordata; Mammalia; Rodentia; Muridae
Description: predicted gene 11300
Source: RNAcentral